RNAcentral lists this ribosomal RNA (386 nucleotides) under uncultured Acetivibrio sp. RNAcentral describes it as "bacterial SSU rRNA". It matches the Rfam family "Bacterial small subunit ribosomal RNA", at positions 355 to 757 of the family's 1533-position model. The record is from RNAcentral. Lineage: Bacteria; Bacillati; Bacillota; Clostridia; Acetivibrionales; Acetivibrionaceae.
UGGGGAAUAUUGCACAAUGGGGGAAACCCUGAUGCAGCGACGCCGCGUGAGCGAAGAAGGUUUUCGGAUUGUAAACUAUUGUCGUUAGGGAAGAUACAAGACAGUACCUAAGGAGGAAGCUCCGGCUAACUACGUGCCAGCAGCCGCGGUAAUACGUAGGGAGCAAGCGUUAUCCGGAUUUAUUGGGUGUAAAGGGUGCGUAGACGGGACAACAAGUUAGUUGUGAAAUCCCUCGGCUCAACUGAGGAACUGCACCUAAAACUAUUGUUCUUGAGUGUUGGAGAGGAAAGUGGAAUUCCUAGUGUAGCGGUGAAAUGCGUAGAUAUUAGGAAGAACACCGGUGGCGAAGGCGACUUUCUGGACAAUAACUGACGUUGAGGCACGAA